GUAGUAUGGGAUGAUAUUACAUUUUUUUUAAACCAGAUUAUAGUUAUGCUGCUCAUAGAAUAUUUCCUUACAUUAAGUUUUCAUUUAAAAACCUUAAUUUUCAAUAUCAAGAGACAUACAAAUUGAUUCAUAACACUAUAUAAUAACUAUAAAUUCGUUGAAAGUCACCAGUCACAAAUUAAUAGUAAACAUUUUUGUGUAGUUAAAAUUCAAAGUAACCAGUGAGGUGGUGAUA
Non-coding RNA from Cinara cedri, 235 nucleotides. The record is from the annotation of a GenBank genome assembly. Lineage: Eukaryota; Metazoa; Arthropoda; Insecta; Hemiptera; Aphididae.